RNAcentral lists this transfer RNA (74 nucleotides) under archaeon. RNAcentral's name for it is "tRNA-Thr". It matches the Rfam family "tRNA". Rfam says of the family: Transfer RNA (tRNA) molecules are approximately 80 nucleotides in length. Their secondary structure includes four short double-helical elements and three loops (D, anti-codon, and T loops). The record is from RNAcentral. RNAcentral also lists the same sequence under 1 other name.
GCCUCAGUAGCUCAGUUUGGUAGAGCGCGUCAUUGGUAAUGACGAGGUCGCGAGUUCAAUUCUCGCCUGAGGCU